Oncorhynchus keta (chum salmon) is the source of this 1867-nucleotide long non-coding RNA. RefSeq lists it as uncharacterized. The record is from RefSeq and is a predicted model, not a curated record. NCBI's taxonomy places the organism in Eukaryota, Metazoa, Chordata, Actinopteri, Salmoniformes, Salmonidae. The transcript is spliced from 3 exons.
CUCUAAGAUCCCCGUUGGAUUUUAUGACACAGCAUGAGCAAAAUGAGAGUUGAGUUCAUAACACUGAUUUGUUUUGUUUGGGACUGUUAGGGCUACACAGCGCUUCACCUGGCCUCUAUACACGGACACCAGCACGUCAUCCAGCUCCUGAUCAACAUCUACAAUGCCAGAACUAACAUCAGGGACUACCAUGGCAAGCUUGCAGCCCAUUACUGGAGUGGCAAUGCUGAUGUGUUCAACAAACCAGGCUCGCAGUCAUGUGGGAAAUGGUCAUCAAAAGGAGGAAGAAAGGCCCAGCGCUACACCAACCUACCCUCUCUGCUCCUCUCUCGCUCGCGGAGCCAGGGGAACCUCAACAACCUGGAGUUUGGGACUGCGCCUCAGACCCCACGGCCCCCCCGCUCCCCAUCUAGUAUAGACUUCCACAGCUUCCAAUCCCCACAGCUCUAUGGAGAUCAUUUCUGAUUAAAGAUAGAUAAUAAUUGUUUUAUUUUGCAUCCCAAAUGGCACCCUAUUCCCUAUAUAGUGCAUAUAUAUAUAUAUACACACACACACACACACACACACACAAAAGUAGUGAACCAUGUAGGGAAUAGGGUGCCAUUUGGGACGUAAUCUUAUUUUUCUAUUACGAUCAUGGCUAUAUCAUGGCUAUAAAGUAUGAUUGGUCACUUCAGAGAAGCACAAAAGGAUUUGAUUGAUUGAAAGUUAAAGAAAGUUGUUCAACUGUCUGGUACAGGUCUCUCUCCUUACUAUGGAAUUUAGCAUGUACACUGAACAUACAUUUGAACGCAACAUGUAAAGUGUUGGUCCCAUUUUUUUAAUGAGCUGAAAUGAAAGAUCCCAGAAGUAUUCCAUACGCACAAAAAUAAUAUUUCUCUCAAAUUGUGUGCACAAAUGUGUUGACAUCCCUGUUAGUGAGCAUUUCUCCUUUGCCAAGAUAAUUCACAAUUGGCCCAGCGUUGUCCAGGUUUGGUCGGGGUAGGCUGUCAUUGUAAAUAAGAAUUUGUUCUUAACUGACUUGCCUAGUUAAAUAAUAGUUAACAUUAUAAUAAAUUACACAGGUACGCCUUGUGCUGGAGACAAUAAAAGGCCACUCUAAAAUGCAGAUUUUUAUCACACAACACAAUGCCACAGGUGUCUCAAGUUUUGAGGGAGCGUGCAAUUGGCGUGCUGACUGCAGGAAUGUGCACCAGAACUGUUGCCAGAGAAUAUAAUGUUCAGUUCUCUACCAUAAUGAUGUUUUAGAGAAUUUAACAGUACAUCCAACCGGCCUCACAACCGGAGUCCACGUGAAUGGCGUCGUGUGGGUGAGCGGUUUGUGCCCUAUGGUGGCGGUCGUUGCCCUAUGGUGGCGGUCGUUGCCCUAUGGUGGCGGUCGUUGCCCUAUGGUGGCGGUCGUUGCCCUAUGGUGGCGGUCGUGUUAUGGUACGUACGGGCAGGCAUAAGCUACAGAGAACGAACACAAUUGCAUUUUAUUUACGUCAACUUGAAUGCACAAAAAUACCGUGACGAGAUCCUGAUGCCCAUUGGAGGCCUGUAUCUGUGACCAACAGAUGCAUAUCUGAAUUCCCAGUCAUGUGAAAUCUAUAGAUUAGGGCCCAAUGAAUUUAUUUCAAUUGACUGAUUUCCUCAUAUGAAUUGUAACUCAGUAAUAUCAAUGAAAUUGUUGCAUGUUGCAUGUUCAGUAUAGCUAGCUACUCCCGCUUUUACCUUUGUUGAUAUAUAUUUUCAGAAGUGUAUUACAUUUAUGAACGCUCUCCUUGCAUUCAUGAUUGGAUUCCACUGGGCACCAACUCGUUGAAUCAACAUUGUUUCAAUGCAACGUUGGAUUUGAAAAAGUAAUCAGCUGCGGUUUUGAGAAUGA